AAAUGUUAGUUCAGGCAACGAAACUGCGAAUAGCUCAUUAGUACGCUCAGAAUCUAUUCGACGGCAAUCAAAAGAUUUUAAAUGGAUAGCAGAAGUAACUCUUGUGCUAAUACAUGCGAUUGUUUCUCCAGAAACGAUUUAUGGAGGAAAAGUUGACCUCUCAGGAGGCACGUCGUUCGAUUGAGUGACCUAUCAGCUUGUACUUAGGGUCUUUACCUAGGUAGGCUAUCACGGGUAACGGGCGGUUACCGUCGGACUGCCGGAGAAGGCGCCUGAGAGAUAGCGACUAUAUCUACGGGUAGCAGCAGGCGCGAAACUUUCCCACUCGAGACAUUCGGAGGAGGUAAUGACCAGUUCCAUGGAAGCCUCACGGCUUUGUGGAUAGGAUAACACCUUGAAAGUGAUAUGAAAUCUAGCAGAGGGCCAGUCUGGUGCCAGCAGCUGCGGUAAUUCCAGCUCUGCGAGUUUGCUCCCAUAUUGUUGCAGUUAAAACGCCCGUAGUCUGAAUUGGCUAGUAAUGGCCGAGAGAAAUUCGUUCACUGUGAACAAAUCAGGACGCUUAGAGUAUGGUCUCAUGAACGACUCAGCGCAGUAUGAAGUCUUUGUUUUCUCCGGAAAACAAGCUCAACGAGAGCCAUCGGGGGUAGAUCUAUUUCAUGGCGAGCGGUGAAAUGCUUUGACCCAUGAGAGACACAGAAGCGAAGGCGUCUACCUAGAGGGUUUCUGUCGAUCAAGGGCGAGAGUAGGAGGAUCCAACCGGAUUAGAGACCCGGGUAGUUCCUACUGUAAACGAUGCCGACAGGAGUUUGUCUAUUAUAGGCAGAAUCCACGGAGAAAUCAUAGUUCUUGGGCUCUGGGGGAACUACGACCGCAAGGCUGAAACUUGAAGGAAUUGACGGAAGGGCACACCAGGGGUGGAGCUUGUGGCUUAAUUUGAAUCAACACGGGGAAACUUACCAGGACCAGAUGGUUUUUAUGACUGACAGGCUUCGGGUCUUUCAGGAUAUGCUUUUUGGUGGUGCAUGGCCGUUGGUGGUGCGUGGGUUGACCUGUCUAGCGUUGAUUCAGAUAACGAGCGAGAUUAUCACCAAUUAAUUACAAGCACUUCCUCUAGAGGUGUGUUGUUCUAAUUGGGACUCCCUGUGAUUAUAGCAGGAGGAAGAGGGUAGCAAUAACAGGUCCGUGAUGUCCUUUAGAUGCUCUGGGCUGCACGCGCGCUACAAUGCUAGGAUCAAUAGGAAGCUACUCUGACAAGAGGCGCUACUCUUAUAAUCCCUAGCGUAGUUGGGAUUGAUGCUUGUAAUCAGCAUCAUGAACCAGGAAUCCCUUGUAAAUGUGUGUCAACAGCGCACGUUGAAUACGUCCCUGCCCUUUGUACACACCGCCCGUCGCUCCUACCGAUUGGAUGACUCGGUGAAAUCGCCAGACGCCUUCGGGUUAAGGCGAUUAAAUCACGUUAUCUA
Molecule: ribosomal RNA, 1463 nt
Filed under: Trichomitopsis minor
Lineage: Eukaryota; Parabasalia; Trichomonadida; Trichomonadidae
Description: SSU rRNA
Rfam family: Eukaryotic small subunit ribosomal RNA
Source: RNAcentral